This 74-nucleotide transfer RNA is filed under the name Streptococcaceae bacterium. RNAcentral's name for it is "tRNA-His". It matches the Rfam family "tRNA". Rfam says of the family: Transfer RNA (tRNA) molecules are approximately 80 nucleotides in length. Their secondary structure includes four short double-helical elements and three loops (D, anti-codon, and T loops). Further hydrogen bonds mediate the characteristic L-shaped molecular structure. tRNAs have two regions of fundamental functional importance: the anti-codon, which is responsible for specific mRNA codon recognition, and the 3' end, to which the tRNAs corresponding amino acid is attached (by aminoacyl-tRNA synthetases). tRNAs cope with the degeneracy of the genetic code in two manners: having more than one tRNA (with a specific anti-codon) for a particular amino acid; and 'wobble' base-pairing, i.e. permitting non-standard base-pairing at the 3rd anti-codon position. The record is from RNAcentral. Lineage: Bacteria; Bacillati; Bacillota; Bacilli; Lactobacillales; Streptococcaceae.
GGCGUUUGUGGUGAAAUGGCUAACACACUAGAUUGUGACUCUAGCAUUGCGGGUUCGAUUCCCGUCAUUCGCCU